Gallus gallus (chicken) is the source of this 1438-nucleotide long non-coding RNA. NCBI's taxonomy places the organism in Eukaryota, Metazoa, Chordata, Aves, Galliformes, Phasianidae. The record is from Ensembl.
UUCCUGCUGGAGAUCUCUGUCUGAGACCUACACUACCUGAGGCCUUCCAAAGACCUAGUUUUCAGAGGAAGAGCAGCACUGCAUAGAAUAGAAGUGCUUGUGGCCAAAUUCCUACAGUGAAUACAGUAUUAGAGAAGGAUGCAGGAUGGAAUAGACCUCAAGAUCUCUUGGGUUCUGUGUUCUGCUCCAGGAAGGACUGACGUCAAAGCUAGAACAAGAUGCUCAGAUAUUUUUCUAGGCAUGUUUUGGAAAUCUUCAGGGAUAGUGAUUCUCUAUUCUCUACAGGAAUGAUAAGCUGAGAUCAUAACUUGAACAAGUAAUGGUGUAUCUGAUCUAUUACCACCUGAGAGAAAGAAGCAGUCCAGAAGAGUGGCCAGAGGAGUUGAGAGGUUUCCCUGCUCAUAUUACCAGGGUGAAAUGCAGUAGUAAGAGCUUCAAUGGUGCAUAAAAGAGGCUAAGCAAAGAAUGCUGCCUGCAGGAUGCCACUUGCUUUUCCUGCAGAACCUGCACUGUGUAUGGAGCCACAGAACUGUAGCAGACAAGUCAGUAAAACAGGCCUGCAGAAUAGAUACUGAAACAAUGAUCACUUCAACAGCCAAGGUCUUUUCUGCCAAACCACUUUGAUCUUGAUACUGAGGGAUUUCAGACAUCUGAACCUGCUCUGUUCUGUGUAAUUCUGAAAGAAAAGCCUUUAAAAUACAGAAGAAGCCAGUGUUAGCCACCUUGCAGUUGGGUUCUAAGGCCUCACUGUUCUCUCUGGGAUUUCUUGCCAGCUGUUAACAUAGUGUUUUAACUUAUAUUAUCAGAUGCUCAAAGCUGUCUGUAAACUACAUGGCUAAGCUCAGAUCUGAGAAUUCCCUUAAAUGAUUUGGCACUCAAACAGUUACUGCCAUUAAGAAGCUGAUGAGUGGUUGCAAACUGCUAAAUGCAGAGUACAUAAUGCCUGCAAGGAGAUAGCUCUUUCUGCUUGGAUGGGAGCCUAUUAAAUCAUUUUAGCACAACAGCAUUUGUAACUGUGAAAGGAAUAAAAUAUUUAUCAAAAUACUAAUCUUAUAAGAAGAAGCCUGAAAGAAUCCUGUCUAGUUUCUGAGUAAGAAAAAUAUAAGAUUUUUAUUUUAUAAAUGUACUUUAAAGAGGUAAAUAGGUCACGUCCUAUAUGAUCUAAUGGCAGUCUUUACAGGCUAUAGAUUUUCUCAGAUGCAUUUCCAAAAAAGAAUUUUACACCGUGUUUAGUUAUUUCUAUCUGCUUGCUUUCCAUGUUAUUUUUUUUACCUUCUUUCUGAUGGUUCAUCUGGUGAAAUUUGAACUUUAAAGUAUGUAUUAUUUCAAAUGAACGUUGCCAAUGACUAAUUCAAUGUCAUUUGGCACUUUUCUAUGCCACUGAGCUAGACCAAGUAGAAUAUACGUAAAUAUAGAAUAUCUAAUUAAUUUCUGUUCC